Molecule: ribosomal RNA, 1045 nt
Filed under: Vibrio sp.
Lineage: Bacteria; Pseudomonadati; Pseudomonadota; Gammaproteobacteria; Vibrionales; Vibrionaceae
Description: bacterial SSU rRNA
Rfam family: Bacterial small subunit ribosomal RNA
Source: RNAcentral
AAAGCACUUUCAGUCAGUGAGAAGUAGUGUAGUUAAUAGCGGUAUCAUUUGACGUUAGCGGCAGAAGAAGCACCGGCUAACUCCGUGCCAGCAGCCGCGGUAAUACGGAGGGUGCGAGCGUUAAUCGGAAUUACUGGGCGUAAAGCGCAUGCAGGUGGUUUGUUAAGUCAGAUGUGAAAGCCCGGGGCUCAACCUCGGAAUUGCAUUUGAAACUGGCAGACUAGAGUACUGUAGAGGGGGGUAGAAUUUCAGGUGUAGCGGUGAAAUGCGUAGAGAUCUGAAGGAAUACCGGUGGCGAAGGCGGCCCCCUGGACAGAUACUGACACUCAGAUGCGAAAGCGUGGGGAGCAAACAGGAUUAGAUACCCUGGUAGUCCACGCCGUAAACGAUGUCUACUUGGAGGUUGUGGCCUUGAGCCGUGGCUUUCGGAGCUAACGCGUUAAGUAGACCGCCUGGGGAGUACGGUCGCAAGAUUAAAACUCAAAUGAAUUGACGGGGGCCCGCACAAGCGGUGGAGCAUGUGGUUUAAUUCGAUGCAACGCGAAGAACCUUACCUACUCUUGACAUCCAGAGAACUUUCCAGAGAUGGUUUGGUGCCUUCGGGAACUUUGAGACAGGUGCUGCAUGGCUGUCGUCAGCUCGUGUUGUGAAAUGUUGGGUUAAGUCCCGCAACGAGCGCAACCCUUAUCCUUGUUUGCCAGCGAGUAAUGUCGGGAACUCCAGGGAGACUGCCGGUGAUAAACCGGAGGAAGGUGGGGACGACGUCAAGUCAUCAUGGCCCUUACGAGUAGGGCUACACACGUGCUACAAUGGCGCAUACAGAGGGCGGCCAACUUGCGAAAGUGAGCGAAUCCCAAAAAGUGCGUCGUAGUCCGGAUUGGAGUCUGCAACUCGACUCCAUGAAGUCGGAAUCGCUAGUAAUCGUGGAUCAGAAUGCCACGGUGAAUACGUUCCCGGGCCUUGUACACACCGCCCGUCACACCAUGGGAGUGGGCUGCAAAAGAAGUAGGUAGUUUAACCUUCGGGAGGACGCUACCACUUUGGU